UUCAUAAAAUGCAUAGGUUAGAUUUUAGUAGGUAUAGAAAUUUGAAUGUUUGAAGAGAAGAAGGAUGUGGGAGAGUUUAUUGGGUCAUGCAGUAUAGCAUAUGCAAAUGGAAGAGUGAGAAAAGAAGGAAGUUGGAUAAUUAGAUGAUGUUAUGUUGUGGUUGGUGAGGGAGUUAUUGUUACGUGAACAUUAAAAGUUAAAAAGGUAAAUAUUAAAUGUAAGAAAGGGUAAUUUUGGAAUAAGAGAAAAAUUGGGGAGGUGCAGGGAGCACUUGGGGUGGUGGAGGGAGCAACUCUCAAUGGAUUGUAGGAUAGGUUGGGCGUUGAUUGAUCUGUGACCCGUUAACAUGAAGUAAAAUGGGCUAGCUUGUGACUCGUAUCAAAGUUUUUUGUUUAGAGUUUUUUCAACUUUAGUAAUAAUUAACAUAAAUAAUGAAACCAAAUUUUU
RNAcentral lists this long non-coding RNA (447 nucleotides) under Vigna radiata. RNAcentral describes it as "long non-coding RNA (VRAD_LNC003398)". The record is from RNAcentral. Lineage: Eukaryota; Viridiplantae; Streptophyta; Magnoliopsida; Fabales; Fabaceae.